This 7860-nucleotide long non-coding RNA is filed under the name Brassica napus (rape). RNAcentral's name for it is "long non-coding RNA (BNAP_LNC004888)". Lineage: Eukaryota; Viridiplantae; Streptophyta; Magnoliopsida; Brassicales; Brassicaceae. The record is from RNAcentral.
UGCAACAAAAACAUUUCGACACAAAAUCAAAGAAACAAAGAGAAUGUGUCUCUUACAUUCUUGAAAGUCUCUAGCCUUGUUUAUUAGUGUUAGUGAAAACACGAUCUUAGCAUGCUAGAAUCUAGAUUGAAAAUUGUGAAACAAAAACGGGUUGAAAACAAUAAUAUAAAGUAGUAAAAGGUUUGAAAACCGUUAAGGAAAUAGACAAAUAGUCGAGAUUUGAUUUGUUUACUUAACUCAAUAAAUCACUCUUAUAUGAGAUAUUUUUAUACGAUUUUUAAGUUUCAGAAUAAAACUAUUUGCAUGUGUCACAAAAAAAAAAGAAUAAAACUAUUUGCAUCAACCAAAAAAACAAUCUGCAAACUUAACAUCCACAUUAUACUCUCUAAACUUACUUCAAAAAGAUUUGAGGUAUUGCUAGAACUUUGUAUGUGAAAGCUUAUCUUGAGUAAGAUUAUUAUGUGAGUAUAUUGGUAUUAGAGAGAUAAGACAUUUAUUUAUAUGAAAAAUUUAGGAAGUUUAAUCAUAAAUUAAUUUAAACAUUUGUCAUUAAAUUUAUUAACCUUUAGCCAUUUGUCUCCAAGUCAUUUUGGGUUAGACACAAAAUGUGUUUAGCUUAGCCAUUUGUCACCAAAUUGAUUUAGCUUAGUUAAUAAGAAAAAUUAGUCAUAAUUUUACUUAGCUUAAACAAUUUAUCACUAAAUAGAUUUAAAUUAGUCAUUAACUUAGUUCAAAGCUUUUUCAUUGUCCAAAGAUAACUCCAAAUUUAAGUCUGAUGAUAAAAUGUGACAUGUAGUGAUUCUAUUAAAUUAUAUCAUAUCUUUCUUUUCUAUUAAUGGUUAGUAAGAUCUGGUGUCAAAAAUUAAUAAUUAAUAAAAGAAAAUCUUCUUUAAUUUUAUAUUUCAUAUCACUUUGUAGCUCUUAUAACUGAUUUUGGGAAUGAAAUUAAGAUAAGAUUAUGAAAACAUAUAAUUAACCAAAUUUGAACUAUACUCUAUAUCUCAACGCUGUAGGAAAUCGUUUUUAACAAAAUGGUUUAAGACCAUUUCUCUGUAAGUUUGCGGACGAAGACGUUAGCUAAAUCCUUCACAUGCCUUUAUUUUUUAGUUUAUAGUUUUUUGUAUGUCUGAAAGUACAACAUAUAGAAAAAUUCGAUAGACUCUAUCUUUGAUGUUGGAAGAUAUAAACACAGCAGUUGUAUCUAAAAACAUCACACUAAAGGAAGUUUAAAGAUUUAAGAAAAGAGAUUUGCCAUUUUGACUCUACAAUUUUUUUAUAUCAAUUUAUUUUAGUUUUGUAAUUUAGAUUUAUGUUUUUCUUAUUUUUAAAAAUAUUAUUUGUCUCAUUGAAAUAUAUUAAGGUUCCUACAAAUACAAGAUAUAUAACAAGAAGGAUUCAUUGGUUAUUUCAUAACAGAAAAGAAGAAAGACAUGGAUGCAACUUCACCACCAGCACUACCAGAUGACGUCAUAGAAGAAAUCUUAUUGAGACUUAGGGUGAAAGAACUAAUCCGACUCAAGUGUCUUUCAAAACAAUGGAAAUCGUGGAUCGAGUCUUGCAGUUCCGUUGUACGAUUCCACUUGGACCAAACCCCUACUUGCAUGGUACUUCCAUUGAUGUAUUUGGAAGCACGAACCAUUUCUUGUAUGUUACGUUUUGUUGAUGAGAUGUUUUUUGCUCUUCUAUUAUGUUUUUUAUUUUUACUAAAAUGAGGCUAUAGUACAUGUGGAUAUCACACCAGACUGCAUGAGUCGUGAUGUGAGAGUAAUAUAUCUUCUUGAUCGUCAAAAACCAGAAAGAUAAUAAUAAUAUGAUCACAGCUUUAAGAAACAGUGAAUUUUGGUUAAAUUAUAUCUUAUCUAACUUUUCUAUUAAUAGUAUGUAAGAAUCUGCUGCCAGAAUUAAUAAUUAAUAUAAGAAAAUCUUGUCUAAUUUUGUAUUUCAUAUCACUUUAUAGUUUUAUAACUUGAUUUGAGGACUACAAUUAAAAUAACAUCAUGAAAAACAUAGAGUUAACCAAAUUUAAACUAUACUCUAAAAUCUCAACUCAAUACAAGAUAUAUAACUAAGACUUUUUAACCCCUUUGUAUCUUUGUGACCUAAUACGAGUUUGAGAUCUUCUAGUUUCUGUUUUCUUCAAGAUCACCCACCAGAAAACAACCGGUUUGUAACUGAUACUAUCUCUUUUUCUUUAAAGAACAACAGUUUUCUGCUAGUAUAACUAAUCAACGGGUUUCCACAUUGUUAUAACUAGGUUAGGAACCCACACGAUAUCGCGUGGGAACUCAAUUUUAAAAAAUACAUAUCACUUUAUAAUUUUAGUUUUUGUAUCAAUUUAUUUUAAUUUUAUUUUUGAAAAAAAUCUCAUGUCAAAACGUAGAAUAUAUGUGUUUAUAUUUAUUUAUAGAUAAUAUGAAAACGUAUAUUUUAUAGUUUUAGAUUACAACUAAAAUACAAAUAUGUCAAUACCAAAAAUUUAAAUCUUCUAUUAAUUUAGGUAAGUUUUAUAAUUUUCUAAAUGAUAUUUAAUAUUUUCAAAUUAAUUAAAAUAAGCAACACAUUUAAAUUUAAUCAUUUACUAAUUUGUAAGGUAAUUUAAAAUGACAAAUAUUACAUUCAUCAUUUUUGAAGCUUUGUAAAAAUAUGUAUUGUCAAAACAUGAAUAUAUGAAAACUUUAAGAGAUCUUGUCAAUCCAUAUUUUUACGGGUAAAUCACACACAUUUUUCUUUGUGCAUUAUUUGCAUUUUAUUUAUUUUGAAAAUUGAUCUUUGACGAAUCUGACAAUGAAACACUCUGCUUUAUAAUCUAUUUUUAAGUUUUUUUGUUGUUAUUUUAGUUAUGAUUUGUCAUUAUCCACAAUUAUUUAUAUAGAAGAAUGGUUGUAAUAACUAACAACCAAAUAUUGCAACGUUCAUCUAAUGAUUGCAAUACUAACACCAAAAAUUUCAAAAAUACAUCACUAAAUACUACAAUUACCAACAAUUUAUAAUGCUUCAUGACAUAUGAUCACAAUAACCCAUUACCAAAAAAUGUAAUCACCAACAAUUGCAAUGUUUGUGUUCCAAAAAAAAAAAAAACAAUUGCAAUGUUUCAUUUAAUCAUUUGUAAUUUUUUUUAAGUAAAUGUAAAAGUUAACUUCGACGAUUUCAAAGAUUUAUUUAAAUCUGGCUAUAUUUUCUCAAUUAAUUAUAAUUAGAGAUUCAGUUAAGAAUCACUUAUAUAAACUCAAACAUAAAUUUAAAUGUGCAUGAAUAAAUAUAAUCGUUUUGGUUUAUACUCAUCUAUUAAUAAAUAAAUUAUUUAAAUAAGUCAUAACGUUUUAUCUGAAAUCCGAAAAAAAAAUCAACCAAAAACAUACUAAAGCAUGUUGCAAACCACAAAAUAUAACUGAAAACCAUAAAUUAAAUUUUGUAAAUAUAUAAUAUUAUAAAAUAUUAAUUACCCAACAAAUAAAAUUAACCAAAUAAUUUUAAAUAUUAAGAUUAACUAACAUUUAUAUAAAUAGAUAUGAAAAUAUAAUUGAAAAUCUCAUUAAAAACUUUUGCAAUUUUUAGAAUGAAUAUACACUUUUUAGACAUUUCUAUAUGCUUUUAAAUAUAUAUAUGUAAUUUUUAGAAUAAAAUGACACAUCUUUAAAUGAAAGAUAACUCUUUAAAAAUCUCUACAGUUUUUAUGAUGAAAAAAUACAUAAUUAUGGAAAGAAGCAUCUUUAGAUUUUUCCUCUUAAAACUAAUAAAAUUUAUAGGUGAAAAAUACAUCACUUAACAUUUGUUGAAAAAAAUACAUAGUUGCAUCUAUUGCUUAUGAAAAGAUAUAACUUUCAAAACUAAUACAUUUAAAAUAAAAAGAAUGAAAACAUUCCAAUAAAUGUUAAAGGAUGCAACUUUUCAUUUUAAACAUUGCAUUAGUUCUUAUAGAUUGUGAAAAUAUAUAAAGAUGUGUCUUUUCAUAAAUAUAUGUCUUUUCAUAAAAGUCCAUAUGAAUAAUAACAACUUUUCAUAUUUUAAUUAGUUAUUUAAAAUAACACUUUUAUAAUGGUAGUAUAUAACUUUUUAAACAAAAAAUUAAUUAAUAUACAUUCUUAUGAUGAAAAGACACAGCAAAACAUUUAUUUAUAAAUUUCACAAUAGUUUUAUAUUGAAGAGAUACAACUUUUAGUCAAAAGACAUCUUAAUAAACAAACACAACUUUUAACAAAAAUUGAGAUUCCAAUAAAAACACACAACCUUUGGAAUUAAUUGAAUAUCCUAUUAUUAGUAAACUUAAGUAUAAGUACGAAGAACUCCUUAUAACAAAAUGGUUUUAAAGAACUUAAGAUUUUAUUAUUAUAGUAUAUGUAAUUAACGAACAGAUAAAAUUUUGUAAGAGACAAAACUAUGCUUCGCUCCGAAGGGGGAUGCAAUUUAUUUUUUCGAACAUGCAACGUACAUAAAGAAUUCACAAUUAUAUAAUAUAAAUCUUAACAAUAAAUUAUGAUUUUUGGGGUUUGUCAUAUGUAUCCGUUUGCUAAAGGGUUGAUGGGAAGAAGAGGGUAAGUACCUACGAUGGUGUUUUGGUGGUCAGGUUUGUUGUCAAUUAUUGUAACUAUGCUUUAGGUUUAUAUAUCAACCCUUCUGCUGGGAAACAAGACUUACUUUUAGUUAAAUUAUUAUUUUUCUCUGUUGCAUGAUUUUGUAUUGACAGAUUAUUGGUUAGGAAUAGUUUUUAGGACCAAAGUAGUGAACAAAAUAAUAACAGUUUUUCAAACAACGGACAAUUUGCAAACCUGUCUAUUUAUCAAUCAACAGAUAAUUUGAGUUUAGGGACGCAACCAAAAUGGAUAAUUUGAUUAAUACAACCAAGUUUCUUCUAAAUUUCACUUAGUUGGUGUAAGAAUAAUAAUAAAGAGAUAAAAUCGCUAGCAAGUUAAUGAAGCGAAGAAGAAACAAGAAAGGCGAAAGCUGUUAGGAAUCCUAUAGAAAUUGAAACCUCCCUGACGCUGCUGCUGUUUUAAUAUGAUCGGCGGUCUCGGUUUAUUAAGAAGGCAUUCGAUACACAACGGCGGCUGCGGUGGUGGAAGUGGUAGUGGGCAGUGCGUACAGGGCGGUGGUGGUGAUUGUGGUGGCAAAGGAGGAGAAGGCGGUGGUGGUGAAUGUGGUGGGGGAGAGAAGAACACCAGUCAGUCAUACAUAGAAUACAAAACCGUAACCAGAUUUAAUGGGUAAUUUACCUUGCGGAUUAAAUACAAGAAGUCAACGCCUUCCUCACUUUGUGCCAAACUCUUGAGGCUUAUGUGUCUGUAACAUUAAACCAAAACUCUUCUCGUGUUAGUACAAUUUUAAGUGUUCAGUUUAAUGUACACUUUAGUUGAAAAAUAUGGUAUGUUAUUGACGUUCUUUCGAUAUUAUUUGAAAAAAUUUCAACGAACAGAAGAUGUUUCUUUAUUCUGAAAAAUGCAUGUUAGAGACUAUUUAUAGAUUUUAAAAAUCUAUUUAAAUAGUCACAACUCUUCAAUUUAAAUAGUCACAUUCUUUCAAUUUAAAUGUAGUUAUUUUGAAAAGAUACUUAUAGAAAUAAUAAUAACUUUUCAUUUUUUCAAAGAUACUUAUUAGAAAAGUCAUAAUUUAUCAAAAUUUUCUUUUAUAACUGCAAAAAAUGACAUAACAUAACCAAUUACACUAACAUAUAACAUCUCAUAACAUAAGAAAAAAACAUAACUAUUUAGACAAUUUUUAGAAAAGACACAACAUUCCAACAUUAAAUAAUAACAUCUAUUUGAUUUAAAUACUAACUAAUACACAACUCUUGAAACAAAUAAUGAAAUGACAUAUCUUAAUAUCUCAAUAUAUAAUGAAAAGACACAAUUUUUAACGAGAAAUAAAAUUCUUAUAAAACAUACAACUUUUCAACAUUGUUUGGGUUUGCUAUUAUUAAUUGUUUUUUUUUCUUCACCAUUUUAUUUGAUUAGUGAAAAUUAUGCUUUGAGAAGGCAUGCACAUUGGACUAUUUAUAGAUUUUCAAAAUUUUGUUUGAGGAGUCACAUCUUUUCAAUUAAAAGGUUGUAAUAAUACUUAUAUGAAGAGUUGUGACUUUUUAAUAUGAAUGGCCACAUUCUUUCAAUAUAACUUUUAAUUGUUGAAAAGACACAACUUUUCAACAUAAGUGAAAUUCACAACCUUUUGAAUUAAUUGGGAUUGCUAUUAUUAGUAGAUGAUGAUGAUGAGCAUGUUGGUAACAUCAAAUAGAUUUCCUUACCUUCUUUUCCAAAUGAUCAUGUUGACUCUAUAAUAUAUUAUAAUAAAGGAUAGAUUUGUCAUUAUUAUUUUGAACAAGUUCAUCUCCAUCCCAAUACACCAAGUAAAACUCACAUGGAUGAGUCAUCUAGAUAAGUUUUAUUUUAGGCUAAAAUUAAAAAUACUGAUACAUAUUUUAACUUAAAACGAACAUCAUCAAUUCUCCUCUAGUUUGAAGAAUUAUCUUGCAUUGUCUCUUCCUUUGUUCUCUAUUUUCCUUCUUCUUCUUGCAUUACUCUCAAAAACGCUUCAAGUGCUCUCUUCAUCCACUCAUACCGACACAGCUCUAAUGCUUCUUUAACAUUCAACUGCACAUUUUUCAUGUAAUCCCAAAUUUAUAUAUGAAAUGACAUAAUCAUCAGUUCAUUCGAUCUUAUACUUGUUAUUAUAUUUUGAGCUUCUUACCCAUUUUCUUUGGCGAUUCCCACGUUCUGGCCAUUCCUGGAGUUCUUCGGUUACCUCUAAUGCAAACAUAUAGCCUUUGCAUCCACCAAAAGAUUCAUCCUCCGCAUUGGUACUAAUACUACUUUUGCUUCUAAAUUCCCAAACUCCUAAAGGAACUUCCUGAAACAAAUGACCAAUAAAUGAUAAACAAACUUUUUGAAUCACUUUUCCUUGAAGAUUGAAAACUUACUCUAAGUAUUCCUUUAACUCCAGCUUCUUCCAUGGCUUCGCGAGAAGCAGCUUCAAGAACGGUCUCAUCAUUUUCCCAUCCUCCCUGAUAAUAAUAGUAACAUAACACCAAAAAAAAUAAAGUUUUUAUAAAGACAGGAAGAGAGGUAGAUUUUCGAAAGAAAUUGAAAAAAAAACCUUUGGGAAGACAAGAUCAUGACGAUUAGGAGAUGAAACCAUGAGAACUUGAAGCUUGUUUACAAAGUCAACACUUGUGUCUUCUUCAAGUUCCUUGUCUUUGAUCAGACGAUACGGAAUGCAUCUGUUCAUCAAACACUAAGAAAUCAACCAUUUUGCUUUCUCGUUUUUGUAUAUGUUCCCGACAGUUUCAAACUUGCAAAACUGCUCAUCAUUCGAAAAAAAAGAAAUGAUUUUCUUAUAUUUACCCAGAAACGAGUCGGAAGUUGUUGUCGUAACGUUGACGAUCUCGUCCGGUCCGAGAUGAAAGAACCGACAUUGAUGAAUCUGCAACAAAAACAUUUCGACAAAAAAUCAAGGAAACAUAGAGAAUGUGUCUCUUACAUUCUUGAAACUCACUAGCCUUGUUUAUUAGUGAAAACACGAUCUUAGCAUGCCAGAAUCCAGAUUGAAAAUUGUGAAACAAAAACGGGUUGAAAACAAUAAUAUAAAGUAGUAAAAGGUUUGAAGACCGUUAAGGAAAUAGACAAAUAGUCGAGAUUUGAUUUGUUUACUUAACUCAAUAAAUCACUCUUAUAUGAGAUAUUUUUAUAAGAUUUUUAAGUUUCAGAAUAAAACUAUUUGCAUGUGUCACAAAAAAAAAAUAAUAAAACUAUUUGCAUCAACCAAAAAAACAAUCUGCAAACUUAACAUCCACAUUAUACUCUCUAAACUUACUUCAAAAUGAUUUGAGGUAUUGCUAGAACUUUGUAUGUGAAAGCUUAUCUUGAGUAAGAU